Long non-coding RNA from Hemicordylus capensis (graceful crag lizard), 1812 nucleotides. RefSeq lists it as uncharacterized. The transcript is spliced from 3 exons. The record is from RefSeq and is a predicted model, not a curated record. NCBI's taxonomy places the organism in Eukaryota, Metazoa, Chordata, Lepidosauria, Squamata, Cordylidae.
AAUCAGGAACAGCAGCUGCUGGAGCGAGACAGGGUGAAGAACUGAAGAUUGAGGGGAUUGCCUUUCCCUCCUGUUGAGAGGCAAAAGCUCUGAUUGGCUCUGUCUAGGAGCAGGAAGUUGUGACAACCCAUGAUUCCUACGGAUACAACCCUCUUCUGAGGGAGAAUUCCUCUAAUAUCUUGUGAAUAAUAAUGGACUAAGAUGCAGCGGAACAUUGUUCUCAACCGUCAGUUCUUUGGUGAGCAUUUUCCAAUGUGGGCUGUUGGACAUAAAGCUGGAGUAAACGUGGAAGGAGGCCUAAAGGGAAUAUUACAUGGCGUCUGGUCUCUAAAAAAAUAUCCGUGAUAGGUUUGGAGAGGAAGGAGCUCAUUUCACUGCAACCAUCUGCCAUGAGAAAGUGUCUCUUCCCCCAACAUUGAAACAAGGGGUGGCUUUACACCUGCCGGUGUCCCCUCGGCAGGACGGGUUCAAGUCCCGAAAAAGGUGGAAUGUUUCCUUGGAUCUCCUGAGAAACAAGAUUCUUCUAGGAGGGGAAGCGAACUGCACACUAAAUAUCAUCAUGUUAAGCAAAUUCAUAAUGCGGCAUUAUCGACCCUUGAGACGUCCAUAAUGCUGGGGAAAGCUGAAGGAAAGAGAAGAGGAUGACCAGCAACAAGGUGGAUGGACUCGAUUAUGACAGCAUUGAAUUAAAAGACUUGAUUACAACAGCAAUGAAUUACAACAGCAACCUUAAAGGCCAAGUUGAAGACAGAUAAUCCUGGAGAGAAUCUAUCUAUGUGGUCGCUAAGUGUCAACACCGACUUGAUGGCAUUUAAUCAAAUUCAUCUGCUGGUUAAGCUUUGUUGGUGUUAUAUUAACAUUUAGACCCUUACAGAGAUAGAAUGAACAGCUCUGAAACACAUCCUGGAAAAUAGGGGUGUGCAUAUGUGGGGCGAGGAGGGCGGGAAGAUUCAGCCUUCCACUUUCAGGAAUAGACUGUUUUGGUGACUUUUAAAGAUAGUAAUUUUCCUUUCCAUCAUGUACUUAUAACAUAUAAUGUGACAAUUAAUACAUGUCUUAAGAGAAUAUUUGUAAAAUCGGAUGGAAGCAAAAGGCUAUCUAGUAGCCACUGUUCCCUUUAACAGGGAUUCCCAGAUGUUGACGACUACAAUUCGUAGAAUCCCCAGCUGCAAUAGCUUUUGCUUGGGGAUUAUGGGAGUUGUAGUCAACAACAUCUGGGAAUCCCUGUUAGAAGGAACACUGCUAGUAGCCUCCAACUAUGAGGCAUCAUCAUCCACCUACCAGCUUUUACAAUUAACCAAACAAAUCCAAGUCACCACACGUAGAGAGCUAGCAUUCAGCAGUGCUAAAGACCCACACCCUGGGUCUGCAUAAUGACACUUAACCAGGGCUUCCUAUGCACUCUGAUGCACAAAGCUCAUCCUCAGGUUCUCCAUUAACUUGAGCGGAGUAGGCAGUUCUUAGUGCUCAUUGCUGACCACAUGGAGCUGCCUGUACAUCAAAGCAAACCAAGCAACUCUUAGGGAUGGGGCUCUAGCUCAGUUGUAGAGCAUCUGCUUUACAUGCAGAAGGUUCCAGGUUCAAUUCCUGGUAUCUCUAGGUAGGGCUGGGAGAGACUCCUGCCUGAAACCUUGGAGAGCCACUGCCCGCCAGUGCGGACAAUAAUGUGCUAGAUGGACCAAUGGUCUGAUGCUUCUGUUCACCCAGGCUUUUAACUGAUAUUGUUUUGAUUGUUUUAAUGUUGUUUUUAGAAUAUUAUUUUAAAAUUUUAAAUUCCGUUUUAAAUGUCUUGUUUUUAAAUGUCUUGUUUUU